RNAcentral lists this ribosomal RNA (428 nucleotides) under uncultured bacterium. RNAcentral's name for it is "partial 16S ribosomal RNA". It matches the Rfam family "Bacterial small subunit ribosomal RNA", at positions 354 to 796 of the family's 1533-position model. The record is from RNAcentral.
GUCGAGAAUCUUCCGCAAUGCGCGAAAGCGUGACGGAGCGACACCGCGUGAUGGAUGAAGUCCUUCGGGGCGUAAACAUCUUUUAUAAAGGAGGAAAUUUUUGACGUUACUUUAUGAAUAAGGGGCUCCCAAUCUCGUGCCAGCAGGAGCGGUAAUACGAGAGCCUCAAGCGUUAUCCGGAAUCAUUGGGCGUAAAGGGUGCGUAGGUGGUUUGAUUAGUCUCCCGUUAAAACUUCGAGCUUAACUCGAAAAGAGCGGGGGAAACGGUCAAACUAGAGUAUGUGAGAGGUGUGUGGAACUCAUGGUGUAGGGAUGAAAUCCGUUGAUAUCAUGGGGAACACCAAAAGCGAAGGCAGCACACUGGCACAUCACUGACACUGAGGCACGAAACCUAAGGUAGCGAAUGGGAUUAGAAACCCUAGUAGUCC